This 157-nucleotide ribosomal RNA is filed under the name Eugenia excelsa. RNAcentral describes it as "5.8S ribosomal RNA". It matches the Rfam family "5.8S ribosomal RNA". Rfam says of the family: 5.8S ribosomal RNA (5.8S rRNA) is a component of the large subunit of the eukaryotic ribosome. The record is from RNAcentral. Lineage: Eukaryota; Viridiplantae; Streptophyta; Magnoliopsida; Myrtales; Myrtaceae.
CGACUCUCGGCAACGGAUAUCUCGGCUCUCGCAUCGAUGAAGAACGCAGCGAACUGCGAUACUUGGUGUGAAUUGCAGAAUCCCGUGAACCAUCGAGUCUUUGAACGCAAGUUGCGCCCGAGUCCUGGACGAGGGCACGUUUGCCUGGGUGUCACAC